UACGUAGGGGGCGAGCGUUGUCCGGAAUUACUGGGCGUAAAGAGCGCGUAGGCGGCUCUGCAAGUCGCUUGUGAAAGCCCCAGGCUUAACCUGGGGAUUGCAGGCGAAACUGCGGAGCUUGAGUGCGGUAGAGGAAAGUGGAAUUCCUAGUGUAGCGGUAAAAUGCGCAGAUAUUAGGAGGAACACCAGUGGCGAAGGCGACUUUCUGGGCCGCAACUGACGCUGAGGCGCGAAAGCGUGGGGAGCAAACAGG
This 253-nucleotide ribosomal RNA is filed under the name uncultured bacterium. RNAcentral's name for it is "partial 16S ribosomal RNA". It matches the Rfam family "Bacterial small subunit ribosomal RNA", at positions 524 to 776 of the family's 1533-position model. The record is from RNAcentral.